Molecule: long non-coding RNA, 281 nt
Organism: Maniola jurtina (meadow brown)
Lineage: Eukaryota; Metazoa; Arthropoda; Insecta; Lepidoptera; Nymphalidae
Exons: 2
Source: RefSeq, a predicted model, not a curated record
GGAUAUUUACUGAUAAGGCUCACGUCAAUGCUUCAAGUAUUCACAUUAUUCAUUUUGAAAUGGUCGUAUUUAAUUUAAAAACAAGACCUGUUUUUACGUAUUUCCGUUAUUUGAUUUUAAUUAUUAUGCUCAGUUACAUCAUGCAAGUACAAAGUGCGGUGCCCAUUGACAUUGAAAUAGUGAGUUCAAAACCAGCCAGGGAUGAACCGAAAAUCAUCUUCAUGAUACCAGACAAGAAGCCACUGAUCUCAAGACGUAGAACAUCCCUUGCAAUACAAUAA